CAGUCGCCGCGGUAAUACAGAGGGUGCGAGCGUUAAUCGGAUUUACUGGGCGUAAAGCGUGCGUAGGCGGCUUCUUAAGUCGGAUGUGAAAUCCCUGAGCUUAACUUAGGAAUUGCAUUCGAUACUGGGAAGCUAGAGUAUGGGAGAGGGUGGUGGAAUUUCCUGUGUAGCGGUGAAAUGCGUAGAUAUAGGAAGGAACACCAGUGGCGAAGGCGACCACCUGGACUGAUACUGACGCUGAGGUACGAAAGCAUGGGGAGCAAACAGGAUUAGAUACCCCGGUAGUCCCUGUCUCUUAUAC
RNAcentral lists this ribosomal RNA (301 nucleotides) under uncultured bacterium. RNAcentral's name for it is "partial 16S ribosomal RNA". It matches the Rfam family "Bacterial small subunit ribosomal RNA", at positions 509 to 807 of the family's 1533-position model. The record is from RNAcentral.